GACGAACGCUGGCGGCGUGCUUAACACAUGCAAGUCGAACGAAGAGCGAUGGAAGCUUGCUUCUAUCAAUCUUAGUGGCGAACGGGUGAGUAACGCGUAAUCAACCUGCCCUUCAGAGGGGGACAACAGUUGGAAACGACUGCUAAUACCGCAUACGAUCUAACCUCGGCAUCGAGGAUAGAUGAAAGGUGGCCUCUACAUGUAAGCUAUCACUUAAGGAGGGGAUUGCGUCUGAUUAGCUAGUUGGAGGGGUAACGGCCCACCAAGGCGAUGAUCAGUAGCCGGUCUGAGAGGAUGAACGGCAACAUUGGGACUGAGACACGGCCCAGACUCCUACGGGAGGCAGCAGUGGGGAAUCUUCCGCAAUGGACGAAAGUCUGACGGAGCAACGCCGCGUGAGUGAUGACGGCCUUCGGGUUGGAAAGCUCUGUUAAUCGGGACGAAAGGCCUUCUUGCGAAUAGUUAGAAGGAUUGACGGUACCGGAAUAGAAAGCCACGGCUAACUACGUG
Molecule: ribosomal RNA, 510 nt
Filed under: uncultured bacterium
Lineage: Bacteria
Description: partial 16S ribosomal RNA
Rfam family: Bacterial small subunit ribosomal RNA
Source: RNAcentral